AUGAUCCGCCUACCUCAGCCUACCAAAGUGCUGGGAUUAUAGGCGUGAGCCACCGUGCCUGGCUGAGGGAAAACAUUUCUCUGGACUUAAUCGGGCCCUCAAGAAUAUUUAAAAUAGUAGCAGAGAAAUUUCUAUCAAUCCAAUGUCUCAGUGACCAACUCUACACAUCCAGGCUUCUUAUAUGAAAUGGGAUGGGGGGGUGUUGCUGAUGUUAGAGGGGGUCGUGGACCCCAAGGACAAUCAUUGAGUCAGAACCAACAAAUGUUUGAGCAACCCUCAGGUUCUAGGCCUUUUUAAAGAUAUUAUUUCAUGAAAUUCAACAACUGUGUGAAAUAAAUGUUGCACCCAUUUUACAGAUUCAGAAAAGUUUGAGGAAGAUUAAGUGAUCUGAUAAAGGUGGAAGAUCAAAGUAUUCCAAAGCGCCUGUUUUUCAACUGCAAAUACUCUACUGUUUUGACUCCACCGUGGCUAACUAUUAUACCGGAAAUUUCUGGUGGCAAAAGGAUAGGGAGUGUCUGAGAAGUGAGGUCAUAACUUUGACACAUCUUCAAAACGUUUUAGGAUAACAAACUGACAGAGAGCAGGGUUGGUUUAACUUUUGGUUUUGCAAAGGGACAUGAAAACAGGCACUCUAGACUGUGGUGCCUUGAAUCUCGGGUCCACUGUGCACUCACGAUGAGACUCUGAACGAGGCCCUUCACCCUCCUUUGCUCCAUCUCCUUGUCUUUAGGAUGGGAGUGAAAACACCUACUUACCAGCUGGAGAGGUUGAGGGUCAAUAGGAUAGUCUAUGUGAUGUGCUCAGUUCAUGGCUCACAGGAAGUGCUCCAAACCCAUGAGAUUAACGAGCUUUGGAAGUGAACUCUGGAAAUGGAUGUGAAGUGUGUGUACCUAAAAGGCUGGAGAAGGAGGGUUGGUGAGGAUUUGGUAACAGGCUGGACAUGGUGAGGGGGUGGAAGAGGGAACGAUUCAUGCAUCACUGAGCUUUCCAGCUUGAAUGGUUGGGUCAGGAAAAAUGUGACGAGGAGCAGUACGGGGUAGAAAGGAAUUAGAAUAGUUCAAUUUUGGACAUGUUGAGUUGAGGUGUGUGGUAGGCAUCUGGACACAUGAGCCUGAAGAGAUGGAAUGUAGCGGGUCUCAGAGGCUCUGAGAGUGGACAAGGGAGCUGCUGGCAGGUUCCUUCAGAAAAGAUUUGUUGAAAAACACUGACCAAGAAAUUGUCUAUAAUUUCCAUACCAGCCUCCAUGAGCUUAUCUGCUGCCUGGUUUCAUCUGUCAUCUAUCAGAAUCUUUCCUUUGUUCUUUAGUUUUUGGCCUUUCCUACUUUUUUCAAUUCCAUGUUGCAUUUUAACAUUGGCCUUUAAAGCUUCAAAAAAAAAAAAAAAUUCCCUGUCAGUACAUAAGGUGGGGAUUUCAGACAGGCAUAAAAGGGGGUGAGUGUUCGGAUUUUCAGAAAGUUUAGAAGUGAGUUCUUAGCACUCAUUAAACCAUAAUCUUUUGGUACAUAAGAGAAUUCUAGAUUGUAUUUUAGCAUAGGUCCCUACAAAUUUCUUCCCAUCCCAAAUGCAUUAGACCUAGUUCACUACUUUGAUGCUAAAUUCAAUGCUUUAUUUUCUUAUGUUUAUUGUCUGCAGAAACACAUUAA
Long non-coding RNA from Sapajus apella (tufted capuchin), 1643 nucleotides. RefSeq lists it as uncharacterized. The record is from RefSeq and is a predicted model, not a curated record. The transcript is spliced from 2 exons. NCBI's taxonomy places the organism in Eukaryota, Metazoa, Chordata, Mammalia, Primates, Cebidae.